UGGGGAAUAUUGCACAAUGGGGGAAACCCUGAUGCAGCGACGCCGCGUGAGCGAAGAAGGUUUUCGAAUCGUAAAGCUCUGUCCUUUGGGAAGAUAAUGACGGUACCAUAGGAGGAAGCCCCGGCUAACUACGUGCCAGCAGCCGCGGUAAUACGUAGGGGGCAAGCGUUGUCCGGAAUCACUGGGCGUAAAGGGUUCGCAGGCGGAAAUGCAAGUCAGUUGUGAAAGGCAGAGGCUCAACCUCUGUAAGCAAUUGAAACUGUAUUUCUUGAGAUGUGGAGAGGCAAGUGGAAUUCCUAGUGUAGCGGUGAAAUGCGUAGAUAUUAGGAAGAAUACCGGUGGCGAAGGCGACUUGCUGGACACAAACUGACGCUGAGGAACGAAAGCGUGGGUAGCAAACAGG
Molecule: ribosomal RNA, 403 nt
Filed under: Fusobacteriota bacterium
Lineage: Bacteria; Fusobacteriati; Fusobacteriota
Description: Fusobacteria bacterium partial 16S ribosomal RNA
Rfam family: Bacterial small subunit ribosomal RNA
Source: RNAcentral